This 751-nucleotide long non-coding RNA is filed under the name Triticum aestivum (bread wheat). RNAcentral's name for it is "long non-coding RNA (TAES_LNC000592)". The record is from RNAcentral. Lineage: Eukaryota; Viridiplantae; Streptophyta; Magnoliopsida; Poales; Poaceae.
GGAAAUGAGCGGGAACUUCUCCAGUUUAAUGUUGAGCUUUGUUAACAGUGAUGCCAAUGUAGCAGGACAUCUUUGCGCAAAGCAGGCAGGCGACUCUAGGCGUUGUUGUCUUUUGCUUAAUUUUAUUCCACCUUUCCUUGUUAAGACUCUUCAGCAGGAUUGUAAUUCACUUCAGCAAUCAAUAAAGCUCAUUGAUUCACAAAAAUAUGUAAUAAAAAAGGCGGCACUCUUCUGGCAUUAUUUCUCCUAAUUUCUUAGCACCUGCAGUUAUCUAAAGCGGCACCUCCUUGAUGUUGUGAAGAAUUAUUAUGAGAUGGGUGCUCUUGCGACGGAAGAUCCAAGCGUUUCUCUCUGCAAAAAAACUAUUUUUAAACACGGUAUAGAGGGCAGACACUCAUACAUACACACAUACACUCAUCAUUAUGAAUGCACGCAUGCAUAUCCUGCCCCUCAAGAGUCAAGAUUAUCCUGCAUGAAAAGAAGGUCAAGAUUAUCCUUAUAAAACCGAUUCCGUCUUUAAACAAAGGAUUAGCCACAACACAUUGCCCCACCAAUCAUCCUAAUGGCGACGCCGCACGUCCUUCCGCUGGUUCGGUCGUCAGCCAAUCUCCUCCAGACCCGGCAAAACGACAGCACCAGGUCAAAUCAAGGCCUCCACGCAUCCGGAUCAAGCAGCAAUUAUAUAUGAUCCCGAUCCAUCGUCUAAUCAUCCGUACGUCGCCACGUGCCCACCCUCCAAAAUUAAGGCGCG